Molecule: unclassified non-coding RNA, 1801 nt
Filed under: Dermacentor andersoni
Lineage: Eukaryota; Metazoa; Arthropoda; Arachnida; Ixodida; Ixodidae
Description: tropomyosin
Source: RNAcentral
UCGGCGACUUCGUCCACGUUAGGCCUGUAGCGGGUGUGUUUCCCCACCCAGUUGUCAGUAUUUCGGCGUGAACUUUAGCAGUCAAGAUGAGCGCCGUCCAGCAGGGAACGUUGCUAGAAGUGCUCAAGAAAAAAAUGCGGGCCAUGAAAGACGAACUGGAAACUGCGAAAGAACAAGCAGAGGACGCGCAAUCACGGGUGAUGGAAGAAAUCCGGCGUCGUGAAGAAGCUGAGGCUGAGGUUGCUGCCCACAACCGACGCAUCCAGCUGCUGGAGGAGGACCUGGAACGCUCUGAGGAACGACUCAAGAUUGCCACCCAGAAACUGGAAGAGGCCUCCCAGGCGGCUGACGAAAGCGAACGCAUCCGCAAGGCACUGGAGAACCGCACCAACAUGGAAGAUGACCGGAUCACACUGCUUGAGAACCAGCUGGGCCAGGCACGCCUCAUAGCUGAGGAGUCUGACAAAAAAUAUGAAGAGAUGGCACGCCGCAUCGCCCUUUUGGAGGCUGACCUGGAAAGGGCUGAGGAGAGGGCCUCCACGGGCGAGAGCAAAAUUGUGGAACUUGAGGAGGAGCUGCGUGUCGUGGGCAACAACCUGAAGUCCCUGGAAGUGAGCGAAGAGAAGGCCCAGCAGCGUGAGGAGUCGUAUGCGCUUCAGAUCAGCACAAUGACUGCCAAACUGAAGGAGGCCGAGGCCCGGGCUGAAUUUGCCGAGAGGUCAGUGCAGAAGCUGCAGAAGGAAGUGGACAGACUGGAAGACGAGCUGCUUGUGGAGCGCGAGAAGAACCACAUGCUCCAGGAAGAGGUGGAGACCACCCUGAAGGACCUGCAGUCCAUGUGACCGGGCUCUCCGGCGCCCCGCUCUGCCUGCCACUGCUUUCUUCCCCCCUCUGUCCAGACGAGCUUGUCCAGGAGAAGGAGAAGUACAAGGCCAUCUCGGACGAGCUGGAUCAGACCUUCUCUGAACUCACUGGCUACUAAGCUCCAUGCAAAGGGACUGGCGCCACCGUCGUUUCUACCGCUGCUCUGCCAACGUUUCACUCUCACUUCGUCGUUGUCGUUGGGGGGUUAGGCUAGGACAGCAGGGGGACACAAGAAAAAUGCCUUUUUACCCAAUCAGAGAUCGGGAGACAGGGAGAGGGGCCUGUUGUAACCCGCCGUCUUGUCCACCCAAAUUGGCCUGGGACACAUUUGGCACUGCAUUUGCCAGUGGCCGUUGUCUCAUUGCAUUGUUGGACUGAAAGGUUUGGGAAGGAGCUACUGUUUUCUUCUUUUGUCCCCUGUACUCUUGUUACAACAUGGAUAGACAGUGCCUCUCCCCUCUCGCCUUUCUUUUUCAUUGACUGUUGUUUGAGACACCAACCACACAUACAGACACAGAGAAGAACCAGCACUCUUCUUGUAUUUUUUUUUUUUUUUUGUUCAGCUCUAUGCAUUUCCCCCCUUUUUUUUUUCUCCUUAAUUUCGGCAAGGUUGUAAGUAUUUUACAUCUUGUUUUCCUGCAGAUGUGAGGAUGUGUAAUGAAUGCUCCCAUGCUUUAUUUUUAUUUUUUUUUAUUGGGACGGGAAAGCAAAGAGAGUGUUAAGUUUUGUGCCUAGGAAUUCGAGGAAAGUGUUUUUUUGACACGUGUUGUACUCUGGACAUGACUGGAUGCCCUAGUAGCAUUGCCUGCAUCUUGGGUGCACCAGCCGUUUCUAGAGCAAACAAGGUUGAUUGAUAAAACCAAAACUGCCAAGCAAUUUGUAUGCCAAUAUAUCUGGUAAUAAAAGAAAACCAUAUUUAAAGGUGCUCUGGCAAAAA